Molecule: ribosomal RNA, 495 nt
Filed under: Melanoplus scudderi
Lineage: Eukaryota; Metazoa; Arthropoda; Insecta; Orthoptera; Acrididae
Description: partial 16S ribosomal RNA
Rfam family: Archaeal large subunit ribosomal RNA
Source: RNAcentral
GGCCUCUUGGUCAGAUUUUGAGGUCUGGCCUGCUCACUGACAAGUUUUUAAAGAGCCGCGGUAUUUUGACCGUGCAAAGGUAGCAUAAUCAUUAGUCUCUUAAUUAGGGGCUGGAAUGAAUGGCUUGACGAGAAAUUAACUGUCUCUUAUUAAAUUAUAAAAUUUAACUUUUGAGUUAAAAGGCUUAAAUUUUUCUUAAAGACGAGAAGACCCUAUAGAGCUUGACAUUUUAUUUUUAUAUAAUUUUUAGUUAGUCUUUUUAUAUUUAAAGAUAAUGUUUUGUUGGGGUGACAUGAAGAAUAGUUAAACUCUUCAUUAUAAAAUCAUUGAUUUAUGUUUAUUUUGAUCCAUAAUUUAUGAUCAUAAGAUUAAGUUACCUUAGGGAUAACAGCGUAAUUGUUUUUGAGAGCUCAUAUUGACAAAGCAGAUUGCGACCUCGAUGUUGGAUUAAGAAUAAUUUUGGGUGCAGGAGCCCAAUAAUUAGUCUGGUCGACC